CCCUCCUAGAGUGGGAGAGGUUCGUAGGCCAAGACAUGAGAGGGGUCUGGGUUGUACUUGCAUAGCAUGGACACAUGAAACACAUAGUGGACCUUGGAAAGCUCUAGAGUUAGUGCUAGUCUGUAGGUGAUGGUACCAAUCUUGUCUAAGACUUCGAAAUUACCAAUAAAUCGGGGGUUCAGUUUUUCCCUCCUGCCGAACUUACUAAUUCCGUUGAAAGGAGUGACCUUAAGGAACACCCGGUUGCCUUUUUCAAACGCUAAAUCUCUCUUCCGGGUAUCCGCAUAACUCUUCUAUCUGCUCUGAGUCGUCUGAAUGUUCCUCCUGAUCUUAACU
RNAcentral lists this long non-coding RNA (336 nucleotides) under Carica papaya (papaya). RNAcentral's name for it is "long non-coding RNA (CPAP_LNC014978)". The record is from RNAcentral. Lineage: Eukaryota; Viridiplantae; Streptophyta; Magnoliopsida; Brassicales; Caricaceae.